This 628-nucleotide ribosomal RNA is filed under the name Dendrolimus spectabilis (pine moth). RNAcentral describes it as "12S ribosomal RNA". The record is from RNAcentral. Lineage: Eukaryota; Metazoa; Arthropoda; Insecta; Lepidoptera; Lasiocampidae.
AUUAAAAACUAAUUUUGUGCCAGCAGUUGCGGUUAAACAAAAUUUAAAAUAAAUUUUUUUAGUUGUUAAUUUAUAAAAAAAAAAUAAAAUUAAUUAAAAAUUUAAAUUAUUAGGUGAAAUUUUAAUUUAAUAAAAAAUUAAAUUUUUAUUUAUGAUAAUUAAUAAAUUUUAAAAAAAAACUAGGAUUAGAUACCCUAUUAUGAAAAAUUUAAAUUUAAAAUACUAAAAUAGUAAUUAAUUUUUUAUUGAAACUUAAAUAAAUUGGCGGUAUUUUAGUUCAUUUAGAGGAAUCUGUUUAAUAAUUGAUAUUCCACGAAUAAAUUUACUUAAUUUAAUAAUUUGUAUAUCGUUGUUAAAAAAAUAUUUUAAAAUAAUAAUAAUAUUUAAAAAUUUAAAUUUAAAAUUAAAUCAGAUCAAGAUGCAGUUUAUAAUUAAGAAUAUAAUGGAUUACAAUAAAUUUAUUUAAAUGAAUAUGAAUUUGUAAAAAUUUAUUAAAGGUGGAUUUAAAAGUAAUUUUAUUUAAUUUUUUAAAAUGAUUAAAAAUUAAAAUAUGUACAUAUUGCCCGUCACUUUCAUAUAUAAGUUGGAAUAAGUCGUAACAAAGUAGAGGUACUGGAAAGUGUUUCUA